UAAGGAAUAUUGCUCAAUGGGAGAAAUCCUGAAGCAGCAACGCCGCGUGGAGGAUGAAGGGUCUAUGACUUGUAAACUCCUGUAAAGAAGGAAAAAAUUCCCAUUUGAUGGGAGAUGAUGGUACUUCUGGAGUAAGCCCCGGCUAACUACGUGCCAGCAGCCGCGGUAAUACGUAGGGGGCAAGCGUUGUCCGGAUUUACUGGGUGUAAAGGGUGCUCAGGCGGAUUUGUAAGUCAGAGGUGAAAUCUUACAGCUUAACUGUGAAACUGCCUUGAUACUGCAAGCCUAGAGUAUGGAAGAGAGUGAUGGAAUAUCUGGUGUAGCAGUGAAAUGCGUAGAUAUCAGAUAGAACACCAAUGGCGAAGGCAGUCACUUGGUCCAUUACUGACGCUAAAGCACGAAAGCGUGGGUAGCAAACA
RNAcentral lists this ribosomal RNA (419 nucleotides) under uncultured bacterium. RNAcentral describes it as "bacterial SSU rRNA". It matches the Rfam family "Bacterial small subunit ribosomal RNA", at positions 355 to 774 of the family's 1533-position model. The record is from RNAcentral.